RNAcentral lists this ribosomal RNA (236 nucleotides) under uncultured bacterium. RNAcentral's name for it is "partial 16S ribosomal RNA". It matches the Rfam family "Bacterial small subunit ribosomal RNA", at positions 98 to 334 of the family's 1533-position model. The record is from RNAcentral.
CCGCACGGGUGAGUAACACGUAUCCAACCUGCCGUCUACUCUUGGACAGCCUUCUGAAAGGAAGAUUAAUACAAGAUGGCAUCAUGAGUUCACAUGUUCACAUGAUUAAAGGUAUUCCGGUAGACGAUGGGGAUGCGUUCCAUUAGAUAGUAGGCGGGGUAACGGCCUACCUAGUCUUCGAUGGAUAGGGGUUCUGAGAGGAAGGUCCCCCACAUUGGAACUGAGACACGGUCCAA